Molecule: long non-coding RNA, 253 nt
Filed under: Chinchilla lanigera (long-tailed chinchilla)
Lineage: Eukaryota; Metazoa; Chordata; Mammalia; Rodentia; Chinchillidae
Description: lncRNA (ENSCLAG00000027213.1)
Source: RNAcentral
CCUUGUGAGGCCAAGACUUUGCUGUCUAGACCUUGUAAACACUACUAACAUAUGUCCUCCAAGAGCUGUCUUCAUUUCCCAAAUACUCCUUUCUACAGUUUUUAAAGAUAACCAAGUCAGAUGAACAAAAGAUCUGAAGCACGCUUUGGUAUCCUCGGGAAAUGUAUAGAGCAUUACCGAAAUGGAAGUUGCACUCUGGGUCAAGUCAAAGGUGUCCUGAAGGGCAGCAGAGAAAGCCACAGAGCACAAGAAC